GAAUUUUAUGAUUGUAAGACUCAGUGUAUCUGCAGGCAAUACAGUGUGAAAUCAGUACAUACGAAUUCAGGUGUAGACGUAUUCAUAAUGGCUGGGGACUAAUUUAGACUUUAUUUUUUGUGUUUUCUUUUUGACUAACAGACUACAGCGAGCUGCAGGAAGCAAUUCAAAGCAACAGCAGGAUGGUCAUCUUCAGGAGCAUAUUAAUGGCUAGUACUGGAAUUCUGCAGUCAAUAUCUUUUUACCCAGAGGCUUCUUCAUUAUCACAUGUGCCAGACCCAGCUGCCUGUUGGAACAGCUUCCUGAGGAAAGUAACAGCACAGAGCAGGAGACCAGAGACCCGCUCUGAAACCCAGAGCACUGAGGGACCACAGAGCAGGCACAGUCACUACUGUAACCUGUUACCAGGCCACAUGAAAUAGACUUAGGAACCAAAGAGCCUGGAGCAUUUGAAUAGAAGAAAAUUAAGACAACAGAAUUAACAGAAGUGUUGAUUAUAUGUGCCAUUGUCCUUUUGUGACAAAGGAGUUAUCUUUCUCAAACAGAAAUCCAGUCUCCAAGUGAGCUUGGUAUAAAAGUCAGACUUUUUGACUGCUUUUCUUAUGGCUAUCAAGAGCAAUACAUCUGGUCUGGGGUGGAUUAUGCUCCAGCUGUCGACACCACCUCUAUAUAUUUCUCUUUAUCUUAGCAGGUUGCCACAGCUAACAUAUUUACCCAAAAUGAAUGUCCAUAUGUCUGACUUUUAUAUAUUCCUUCUUCUUACCUUUUACUUUCUACCACAUAAAAUGGAGGCAUAAAAGAUGAAUUUACUGAUAGAGAAACACACAAAUUUCCUGUGCUUAGAAUAUAGAAGAGUGUAAUGAAUGCUUUCACCCUCAGUCAUUAUGCGUAAUUGUUGUACAAAUUUUCCUAAGGCAGUUUGGGCAUUGAUAAUGGUAGUAUUAGUCUCUGCUUGUUAGAAAAAGACUAUCAAUAUGACUUCAAAUUUAACACUACAUUUUCAAAAGUAAACCAGUAUUACAAAUUAAAUGUUUUCAAGAUAAUAUUUGUUCACCUUUUUACAAAUUCUUCUCCCUUGCUCUUUGGAAGUUUAUUUCUUCUUCCCUUUGUACUUCAACUGUGCAAAUGCUCACAAAGUUCACAGUAACAUAGAGGUGUGAAGGUCUGCACAGAACCAUGUGGAAAACCUCUCAUAUUCAAUGUUAGGCUUCAAUUUUCUUGCACUAACAAUCAGAUUUUCUCAUUUGCUUCUAAUGUAGAGAUACUGACAUUAAAAAUCAUACCUCAAACUUCCUAAUGUUGUAACAUAGUCAACUCGAUUCAUGACAUGUAAAAGACAACAUUUCUAGUCAUAAUUAAUUAUACUCCAAAUAAAUCACAUAAGUCAAAAAGCUUUAACUUUCCU
This 1405-nucleotide long non-coding RNA is filed under the name Coturnix japonica (Japanese quail). Its description in RNAcentral is "lncRNA (ENSCJPG00005004390.1)". Lineage: Eukaryota; Metazoa; Chordata; Aves; Galliformes; Phasianidae. The record is from RNAcentral.